RNAcentral lists this ribosomal RNA (421 nucleotides) under uncultured bacterium. Its description in RNAcentral is "bacterial SSU rRNA". It matches the Rfam family "Bacterial small subunit ribosomal RNA", at positions 355 to 774 of the family's 1533-position model. The record is from RNAcentral.
UAAGGAAUAUUGGUCAAUGGACGCAAGUCUGAACCAGCCAUGCCGCGUGAAGGAUGAAGGUCCUCUGGAUUGUAAACUUCUUUUAUCUGGGACGAAAACGGGAUUUUUAUCUCAAUUGACGGUACCAGAGGAAUAAGCACCGGCUAACUCCGUGCCAGCAGCCGCGGUAAUACGGAGGGUGCGAGCGUUAUCCGGAUUUAAUGGGUUUAAAGGGUGCGUAGGUGGGCUUAUAAGUCAGUGGUGAAAUCUCCGAGCUUAGCUUGGAAACUGCCGUUGAUACUAUAGGUCUUGAAUUAUCUGGAGGUAAGCGGAAUAUGUCAUGUAGCGGUGAAAUGCUUAGAUAUGACAUAGAACACCAAUUGCGAAGGCAGCUUACUACAUAUAAAUUGACGCUGAGGCACGAAAGCGUGGGGAUCAAACA